AAGUCGUAACAAGGUUUCCGUAGGUGAACCUGCGGAAGGAUCAUUAUUGAAACUUGAAUCGUAGCAUUGAGAACUGUUGCUGACCUGUUAAAGGGUAUGUGCACGUUCGACGUGUUGCAUUCUAUUCAUCCACCUGUGCACCUUUGUAGACUUGAUUAACUUUCGCUCUCGAGCGGUUAGAAGGGUUGCUUUCGAGCUCCCUUUGUCUAUCAAGUCUAUGUCUAUAUAAUCUCUUGUAUGUCUAGAAUGUCUUGUUUAUGGGACGCAAGUCCUUUAAAUCUUAUACAACUUUCAACAACGGAUCUCUUGGCUCUC
RNAcentral lists this unclassified non-coding RNA (315 nucleotides) under Armillaria sp. Its description in RNAcentral is "partial internal transcribed spacer region". The stretch from base 1 to 46 matches the Rfam family "Eukaryotic small subunit ribosomal RNA", at positions 1786 to 1831 of the family's 1831-position model. The record is from RNAcentral. Lineage: Eukaryota; Fungi; Basidiomycota; Agaricomycetes; Agaricales; Physalacriaceae.